CAUGACUCCGCCAGCUGAUCCGGGACGGAGCCGGCGCGCGGCGGGGGGAGGCGGCGGCACCGGCACCGGGCACGGCACCGGCGGGGCGGCGGCGCCGGGCCAGGCCAGGCCGGGCCGAGCCGAGCCGAGCCCUGCCCGCGUCCUGCCCGCCCGAGCCGCGCAGGAUUAGCUGGCUCCCGUCCAGGUGGGACCCUGCCAGCCGGGAUGGAUGCCCAAGGUGCUGCCGUGCCCACCCUGCUCCUGGCUAACCAGCACCAGUUCUUCAGUGGCAAGCUUUAUGUCCUUCUCCAGUAGCUAAAGCUGCCAGUUGAAGAACUGUUGAAUGUAGCCACUCUCUUCUCGUCCCUGGGACCUUGGAUGCCAGCCAGAGCCGUGCCCUGAGCCACCAGGAUGAGCCACUCUGCAGAGUGCUGUGCAUUGGAGGGCUGAGGAUGAGUCUGACCGGGAUGAAGAAAGUCUCCUGGAGGAUUGCAGGCAGCUGUGCCAGAAGGGUUGCCAAACUGUGUCCCCCCCCUCAGUGGGGUGGCACUGAGCUGGGAGGAGACUGAGAGAAGCAUUAAACGUUGUUUUGCUCAA
Molecule: long non-coding RNA, 576 nt
Organism: Passer domesticus (house sparrow)
Lineage: Eukaryota; Metazoa; Chordata; Aves; Passeriformes; Passeridae
Exons: 3
Source: RefSeq, a predicted model, not a curated record